This 1455-nucleotide ribosomal RNA is filed under the name metagenome. RNAcentral's name for it is "bacterial SSU rRNA". It matches the Rfam family "Bacterial small subunit ribosomal RNA". The record is from RNAcentral.
AGAGUUUGAUCCUGGCUCAGGAUGAACGCUGGCGGCGUGCCUAAUACAUGCAAGUCGAACGAGAACUAUUGGAUCUUCGGAACUGAGAAAUUCUAGUGGCGAACGGGUGAGUAACGCGUUGGUGACCUGCCCCGAAGAGGGGGAUAACGGUUCGAAAGAACCGCUAAUACCCCAUAAGCUCACGAGAGUUAGAGGUCUUGUGAGGAAAGGAGUAAUCUGCUUCAGGAGGGGCCUGCGUCCCAUCAGCUAGUUGGUAGGGUAAAAGCCUACCAAGGCGAUGACGGGUAGGGGACCUGAGAGGGUGACCCCCCACAAUGGAACUGAAACACGGUCCAUACACCUACGGGUGGCAGCAGUAGGGAAUAUUGCUUAAUGGACGAAAGUCUGAAGCAGCAACGCCGCGUGUACGAUGAAGGCCUUCGGGUUGUAAAGUACUUUUUGUAGGGAUGAGGAAGGACAGUACCUGCAGAAUAAGCCUCGGCUAACUACGUGCCAGCAGCCGCGGUAAAACGUAGGAGGCGAGCGUUAUCCGGAUUUACUGGGCGUAGAGCGCGUGUAGGCGGAUUGGUAAGUUAGCUGUGAAAGCUCCUGGCUUAACUAGGAGAUGUCGGUUAAUACUGCCAGUCUAGAGUAUGUGAGAGGGAAGUGGAAUUCCGGGUGUAGUGGUGAAAUGCGUAGAUAUCCGGAGGAACACCAGAGGCGAAGGCGGCUUCCUGGCACAUUACUGACGCUCAGACGCGAAAGCUAGGGGAGCGAACGGGAUUAGAGACCCCGGUAGUCCUAGCUGUAAACGGUGUAGACUUGGCGUUGGUGGGGUCAAACCCAUCAGUGCCGGAGCUAACCCAUUAAGUCUACCGCCUGGGGACUACGGCCGCAAGGUUAAAACUCAAAGGAAUUGACGGGGACCCGCACAAGCAGCGGAGCGUGUGGUUUAAUUCGAUUUACACGAAGAACCUUACCAGGGUUUGACAUGCAAGUGGUAGUGAAGCGAAAGCAGAACGACCCUUCGGGGAGCUUGCACAGGUGCUGCAUGGCUGUCGUCAGCUCGUGUCGUGAGAUGUUCGGUUAAGUCCGCUAACGAGCGCAACCCUCGUCGUGUGUUACAAGUGUCACGCGAGACCGCCGGUCAUAAACCGGAGGAAGGUGGGGAUGACGUCAAGUCAGCAUGGCCUUUAUGUCCUGGGCUACACACACGCUACAAUGGCCAGUACAAUUGGUAGCGAAGUCGCGAGGCGGAGCCAAUCCGUAAAAGCUGGCCCCAGUUCAGAUUGUAGGCUGCAACCCGCCUGCAUGAAGAUGGAGUUGCUAGUAACCGCAGGUCAGCAAUACUGCGGUGAAUACGUUUCCGGGUCUUGUACACACCGCCCGUCACGUCAUGGGAGCUGGCAAUGCCUGAAGCCGGUAUUCUAACCCGCAAGGGAGGGAGCCGUCAAAGGCAGGGUCGGUAACUGGGAU